Molecule: long non-coding RNA, 131 nt
Organism: Amphimedon queenslandica
Lineage: Eukaryota; Metazoa; Porifera; Demospongiae; Haplosclerida; Niphatidae
Exons: 2
Source: RefSeq, a predicted model, not a curated record
CAUGUGAUCUGUAAAAUGGCUACUGCUGAUGGGUGGACAUAUGGUGGUUAUAGCUAUAAAUUGGUAGCACGGGAUCCUCAACAAGUUACCUGCUGCUACAAUAUAUACUGUAAGAGCUGUCUGGAUACACU